CCUACGGGUGGCAGCAGUGGGGAAUAUUGGACAAUGGGGGCAACCCUGAUCCAGCCAUGCCGCGUGUGUGAAGAAGGCCCUCGGGUUGUAAAGCACUUUCAGUGAGGAAGAACGCCUGGUGGUUAAUACCCAUCAGGAAAGACAUCACUCACAGAAGAAGCACCGGCUAACUCCGUGCCAGCAGCCGCGGUAAUACGGAGGGUGCGAGCGUUAAUCGGAAUUACUGGGCGUAAAGCGCGCGUAGGUGGCUUGAUAAGCCGGUUGUGAAAGCCCCGGGCUCAACCUGGGAACGGCAUCCGGAACUGUCAAGCUAGAGUGCUGGAGAGGAAGGUAGAAUUCCCGGUGUAGCGGUGAAAUGCGUAGAGAUCGGGAGGAAUACCAGUGGCGAAGGCGGCCUUCUGGACUGACACUGACACUGAGGUGCGAAAGCGUGGGUAGCAAACAGGAUUAGAUACCCGGGUAGUC
RNAcentral lists this ribosomal RNA (465 nucleotides) under Vreelandella stevensii. RNAcentral describes it as "partial 16S ribosomal RNA". It matches the Rfam family "Bacterial small subunit ribosomal RNA", at positions 338 to 795 of the family's 1533-position model. Lineage: Bacteria; Pseudomonadati; Pseudomonadota; Gammaproteobacteria; Oceanospirillales; Halomonadaceae. The record is from RNAcentral.